UAAGUAUAGUAGAGGGGGAUAAAAAGCAUUGGCUGCUAAAUAGCUUCACACCAGGUGACAAGAGAAGUGUUGCUUUGUUCCGGCAACAAAACUCCAUCUAAAAGCUCGGCUACAAACAGAGUUACUGCCUGAUUAAAUUUGUGAUCAUCCACUGUCAUUAUGUAAGAUUAAUAUACCUUCUGCUCAGGCCAAAUAAGUAAUUGAAUGGAGGCAGAAUCACCACUGCUCUAUCUUUCCAGGCCUUGAGGCUGACACUAAUAUCUGCAAACCCUCCAAAAAUGCAGUAUUGCUUUUGAUUUAGUAUCUUUGUAGAUAGAGAUAGUUUUACUGACUUCCAUAUGGUCUUUAUGCCAUAAUAGCUCUCACUUGAAGGGUCAAGGAACCAGUGUGGGAAUUCUGAAAAUUUCUGGUGUCUCUAUUCCAGUUAUGUGUUCCACAGUUGAAGAAAGAACCACCCUUUGGAUUUGGGCCCAGUGGGCCCACUAUGAGUUAGACCUGAGCUAAAAUCCCUCAAUCACUUGACCCCCAUUAGCUCCUUCUCUGGGUAGUGCACUACAAGCGACUUUUUGGGUCACUAGGCAUUAACAUCAGCUGAAAGCCAGUGUUUGGGAAUCUUGAAAAGUCUGAUUCCCCCUACCCACCCACCCAAAUGCCUACUCAGAUUGGUAAAUGGCUGGCUGUUCCUCUGAGGAAUGCUGGGAGAUAGAUUAACAGUAUACAUUUUUGGCAUUACUGGGUUUUUCCUCAAGAAGACCUGGAGACUCCUCUUCUGAAGGGAUGCUUUGAGUCUGUAAACUGGCUCAAGGCUGGACGUUGAUUGAGAGGGUAUGACUCCUUUGGUGAGUCAAGUCAGACCUCUGCUCAUUACGCCUGCAGGUUUUCCACUUAGAUGAAGACUAUAGUGGACGUCCCAUCUAUUUUAUUUCUGCUUACACCAUGCUCAACUAGUAAACACCAAAUAUCUGCAAGCCAAACUAUUUUGCUUACUGCUUUGGCUCCACUGUCCCUAACAGUAACCAUGUCCAUGUUUUUGAUGAGUAAGUGCCAUGUGUCACCCCUGCCACCCUGGCACCUCAGCAUCCUCGUUGGACUCACACAUCCCCAUCUGAAGGUAGCAAUUCUCCCUGUAAUUUCCGAUUCAUAGAGAAGAGCAACCACAAGGCUCUUGAAGGAUUCUGGGGCCUGCCUGAUAAAAGACGUCCUCUGGACCUUCUGAGGUCGGUAAGCAAGCCUUACAGAAAUCCGCUUUAACAUUCUAAUCUUGCUGAGCCUUUGCAUAGUUUUCUCUACAGUAUAUCAAGGAAGUUUUGGCAUUUCAACUGCUUUAGUGCAGCAGGUCAACCAGAUCAAACAAGAGACAUUACUAGCCCCUCAAGCUAAAUAUUCAGUCCAGAAUAUCAAUUUAGUGGGCCCGUGUCAAUAAAUUCAGCCUGAUCUGACCUUAUAUUCUUUCCAUUCUGAUCCCAAACAUAUUCCCCAGGUUUCUGUUAAUAUAAAAUUACACAUUCAUUUUAGUGUGUAUCACACUUCUUUAUGGGUUGCAGUUUGUACUCUUUGACAUCUACUGGGACUUAUGUCCAGUUACAGAUCUAGAAGCAAGGGGAGAUAAUGUAAGAAAGUCCUGGAGAGGAUCAGAAGAUCUUUAUGAGGGGCACCUGGAUGGCUUGGUUGAGUGUUUUACUAUUGCUUUUGGCUCGGGUCAUGAUCUCAGGGUCGAGGGAUUGAGCCCUGCAUUGGGCUCCAUGCUGACCAUGGAGCUUGCUUGAGAUUCUUUGUCUCCCUCUGCCCCUCUCCCUGUAUGUUUUCUUUUUAUUUUUUGAAAAUGUUUAUUUAUUGUGCUGUCAAAAAUGAGUCUGAGCUUUCAGCACAGAGAAUGAUAUGGGGUUCGAACUCACAAAUCAUGAAGUCAUGCAUGUCCUGAGCCGAAGUUGGAUGCUUAACUGACUGAGCCACCCUGGUGCCCCUUCCCUGUAUGUUUAUAUACACAUGCUAGUAUACACAAAAUAUAUCCUCUUUGUGUCAGCUGACACAAUAUAAGCGCACCAGAGUCCUGGAAGGAACAUGCACACAUAGUGCCCAGAUCUUGGUUUCUAAUACCAUAUCCCAUGUUUAAUCUCCAAAUAAAGACAAUAACAAAGUCAUAUUUCCUCCAUCUAACAUUAUACAACUAUCUUCAGGGUACAAUUAAAAACCAUUAAACCUAUCCCUGAAAGAGGAUGCAAAGUCCUUCAGUGAUGUUUAUUUACUUUUUUCCUUGAUAACCCAUAACUUAAAUAGUAUGAUUUAAGUUAACAGUACUUAAAUACUAUGAUAUAAAAUCAGUACACCAUAUAUUAUAGAUACAGGGAUAAGAGAAGGAAGUAAACAAAGAUACCUGCUUAAUAUAUAUACCCAGUAUAUUUUAAGUAUAUGUUAUACUAAGUGUUAAGUAAAUAUUGAAUAUAUACCUAUAUGUACAUUAAGUACGUAUACUUAAGGUAUGGGCACACACAUAUUAACGAAAUAAAGAAGAAAUACUCCUCUGACAAUUACAGUCCUUAUUUCUGUAACUGCUCAUGCAGUCACAGGUGGUAUGUAUUAUGAUCUUUCAUGACUAUGUUUAUUUCUUUUACCCUCAGCAAGAACCUCAGCUGGUCAUGGUUCUUUACCUGGUGGGGUGAUCCAGACCUUCCUUCCUGAAGGGUCUGGGCCACUAGUAGUCUUUCCUGAAUUGGGUUGUUGUAGUUUUCCAUUGAUUUUAAUCACAGGUCAUGCUAGUACUAUGAGAUGCCUCAAGGGAUCUCCUGUAUUCUAGACACACUUUUCCUGAUCCCCAAUGUGUGGUAGUAGUCCAGUUUCUUCUUAGUAGGAUCAAUCGCCUCAGCACAGUAUCUCCCUUCUCUGCCUGUUGAUUUGAAGGCAUGGGGAGCCCAAAUUCUCCAAGUGACAAUCCUAACUUCCAGUUCAGUGGAAUCAUUGUUGCGUCUCCUGGUGGAAGCAUUCCUCCAUUUGGAACUAAUAUUUCUAGGCCAGCAGAACCAGAGGUCUUGUGGACAGGAAACAAAAAUUUUGCUACUGGACACUAGGGGUAAUAAUGCUGCCAAUCCCAUUUCCUCCCUGUGAUUCAUGGACCUGUGAAUCCUGGCAAUGGGAGAAAUAUCACCAUAUACUGGACACCGAUUCAGAGCAUGUACAGCCUUCUGGAGAACUUGCCCCAGCUCUGUACCGUAUUGCCACCCAGUGGCACUGUGCAUUUUCAGAAAGUUAUUCUGACAUUCAAUCAAGCUGGCUUCUUCGGGAUGGUAGAACAGGUGAUAAGAUGAGUGAAUUUCAUGACCCCUGGGUCCAUUGCUUCUCUACUUCUUCUGUGAAGUGGGUUCCUUGAUCAGAAGCAACACAGUGUGGAAUCCCAUGACAGUGGGAUAUUCUGUUAGCCCACAGAUGGUUGUUUUGGCAGAAGCAUUGUGUGCAAGGAAGGCAAGUCUAUAUCCAGAGUGUCUGUUCCAGUAAGGACAAAAUGCUGCCCCUUCCAUGAAUUUUGGUCACAUUUAUUUCUCAUUCUUGGACACACAAAUACAUUUGCUUCUUUCUUUCUCUUGUCUUUUGGGACUCCCAUUAUGUGUAUGUUGAUUUAGUUGAUAGUAUUCCAUAGGUCCUAUAGGCUUUCUUCACUCGUAAAAAAAAUUUUUUUUUCCUUUAUGCUCCUCUGGAUGUUUUUAAAUGACCUGUCUUUGAGUUCACUGAUUUUUUUUCUUCUGCUUGAUUGUGUCUAUUUUUGAAGAUUUCUACUGAAGUUUUUCACUACAAUCUUUGUAUUCUUUGGCUCCAGAAUUUCAGUUUGGUGCUUUGUUGUGGUUUCUAUCACUUUCUUGAAGUUCUCAUUUUGUUCAUUUGUUGUUUUCCAUGAUCUCAUUUGGCUAUCUCUCUGUGUUCUCUUGUACUGAGCUUCUUGAAGAUGAUUAUUUUGAAUUAUUUUUAUUGAUUGAGACUUUGUUACUGGAGCUUUAUUUUGUUCCUUUGGUGGUGGCAUGUUUCCCUAAUUUUUUGUGGUCGUUAUAGGCUUGUGUUGGUGUCUGUACAUUUGAAGAAGUGGUUACUUUUUCUAGUCAUUACAGACUUGGCAUCGUCAAUAAAAGCCCUAUACAAGUCAGCAUGACCAGAUAUUCUGGGUCGACUGGUUGGCUGGGUCUGGGGGUGAAUGGACCCAGUGCUGGCUCUACACCGAACUUGGAUCCCCACUUUGCUCUCUUUUUUCCUACAGGAGAACUUAUGGACUGAGGGGAUCUCUUUGAGUGCUGCACUGUGUGGGUUUUGGGGAGGAGUGAUGAGGGUAUAGUGAGACUGUUGUUCUCACUCUUUUCAAUUAUGUCUUUUUUGUUGUUUGUGUGCUCCACCAAUGUGUUUUAACCUCUCAUCUAGAUUCUGGAGAUCAUCUGAAGGUAUUUUUAUCUACGGGUGGUUGUUAAAUUGGUGUUUCUGUGAAGGAACAAGGACUGGAACUUCAUUUUUAACAUCUUGUUGACCUCUCUCCUGAUUUCCCGUUUAUUUAGAUCUCCAAAAUCUUUCACUGAAAUUUUUAUUAUACAAAUCUUGUACAAACCGUGCAACUUUAAUUGUAGAAGUCUUAUGCUCCUUUUUGUUCAUUUCUUUUUUUUUUUUAAUGCUUAUUUAUUUUUGAGAGAGAGAGAAGUGACAGCAAGGGAGGGAGGGGGGGGCAGACAGAGGAUCUAGAGUGGACUCUGCACUGACAGCAGAGAUCCCCAUGUGGGGCUUGAACUCACAAACCUGUGAGAUGAUGACCUGAGCCAAAGUUGGAUGCUUUCAACUGAGCAGCUCAGGCGCCCCUGUUAAAUUCAUUUCUAAGAACUUUUUCUUUGUUUGUUUGUGGAUUGUUCAGUGCUAUUGUGUACAAAUUCAUUUGCUGUUAAUGUAUUGAUCUUGUAUCCUGCAAACGUGUUGCAAUCAUUGAUUAGUUCUGAUGUUUGUUGUCAUGUUCCUAAGUAUAUUCUACAUGGAAGCUCCUGUCAUCUGCAGACAGAGUUUUACCACUUUAUUUCCAAUCUGGAUGACUUUUAUUCCAUUUUAUUGCCUAAUUUCCCUUUCUAGGACCUUCGGUUCGACAUUAACCGUAAGUGGUAAGAGUGGUGUAAGGGCAUAUACAAAUGAAAAAUAAGAGGCUUAAUAUUCUGCUAAAAAUGAAGAGACAUCCCUCCUUGUAGAUUAUUUUCUUUGUAAAGUUGUAAAUUCUUUGCGCUUUUGAGAAUGAACCACAAAUCUUCUUAAAUGUCUCUUGGCAGUUUUACAGCCUAGAAUGUCUUUCCCAAGGACCUCAGAACCAUCUGUUUGAAAUGUAAUAGGGAGCUGGCACUUCUGUCUCCCAGAGUCUGUGAGAGGGUAGAAGCCUAAACUUUGGUGGUUGGGGUCUUGAUCCAAGUUGCAAAACUACCUCCUGUCAUAAAGAUAGGAGAAGCUUGUUUUUUUAACUUGUAAAACCAAUAAACUAACACAGGUGGUCAUCCCAAUUACCAGGCAAAUUUAGGGCAAACAAUGUGUGAUAAAGGAUGCUGUGAAGUCCUCCUACUUGAGAAUUAGUUAUUGUUUAUUUUUGCAACAUUUAUGUGAUGGGAUGUAUCUACUUGGCUAUAAAAAAGGGUGAGAUUUCUUUCUGUCCUUGGAUUGUCUUUGACAUAUAUCCCGCCAUUCAAUGAUAAGAUUGUUUUCUUUGUCUUCUGCCUGAGUGCUUAAGUUUUCUAGGUUCAGAGAGGAUUUUUAAAAAUUUUUUCAACAUUUAUUUAUUUUUAAGAGACAGAGCGUAAGUGGGGGAGAAGCAGAGAGAGAGGGAGACACAGAAUCCCAAGCAGGCUCCAGGCUCUGAGGUGUCAGCACAGAGCCAGGCCUUGGGCCUCCAACUCAUGAACUGUGACAUCAUGACCUGAGGCAAAGUCCCAUGCUUCACCGACUGAGAAACCCAAGCGCCCCAAGAUUUUGUUUUCAAUUAUAUUUACCUAAUAAUUUAAGGAUGGGCUGAGUCUGGUGAAUCCUGACCACUCAUAAUGCUAAAUCGAGUAUGCUUUCUCAUCAAUGAACGUCUCAAAGGACGAAGAACGAAAUAAGACAGGGAUGACUACUGUCGAAGUUAUGUUAUAACAUAAAUGGAACACAGACUGUCCCUGGAAGGAAUUCUGCAGGUGCGUUCUAUAAAAGAUGGAACCGCUAGGACAGCCAAUUCAUUAAGGAAACAAUUAAUGAAAGAGGUGUAUUUAGAUACUCAUUUCGGAUAAACAAUGAGUCAGACGGUAGUAUCAGUGUCUCCUGCUUGUACCUUUAUUGCUAAAUCGGGCAGUCGUACCCAACGUCUCCUAAGCCUGAUGCCUGAUUCCCAACAAGGUUGCACCAGGAAUUUGGGAAAAGGCCUGCACUAGCGGGUCGGCCACAUGAGCCGCUCUGGGCCUUCUGCGCAUGUGCACUGCGCCCCUCUCGGUAGUUCGCGUAGGCGGCCUCGGGAGAAGACGGUCCCGGAUGCUUCAGUUGCAGAGUGCCGAGGCGCAGGCGGAGAGGACGCGAUGGUCGAGCCCCCGGGUGUCUGUGGUUGAAUGUGGGUGACCCGUGGGACUGAGGCCCCGCGCGGGAGGGGCCGGUGAAGGAGGAAACGGCUCGCUGCCUGAGCGCGGGGUGAGUCCUGCUGCGUCUGUAUGCAUCGAAUGCGAACCAGCGCGUCCCCGCGCUUGUCACCCAGCGAAGGGAUUAUUGUCAUUCGGGGAUGUGACUGUGGGCUUCACUGAGGAGGAGUGGCAGCGCCUGGACCCUGCUCAGAGGACCCUGUACAGGGACGUGAUGCUGGAGAACUACAGCCACCUUGUCGCUGUGGGGUUAUCCAUUCCUAAGGAGGGCUGUGGUGAAAUAGUUUUGGAUUUUGGCUGUGGUGGUGGUUACACAGAUCUCCGCAUUUGUCACAAUACCUGAAACUACAUCAGAGUGAACUUUUGUGUAUAGAAGUAAAAUGAAAAAAUUUUCUCUCAAUAAAUGAUAGGUUACAUGUUUAUACUUAAACAUUUGCAUUCUUUUAAAUUCUCAUAAUAGACUUUUACAUACAUUUGUCAUUCAUUGUCAUUUUCUUUUUUAUCAUGAGUGCUUAGUUAUGUAGCCGGAUUCACGUUUCUAUUGACUUAAAGAUCUCUUUAUUAAUUAACAUAUCUUUUCUUUCAAAUAUUAAAAAUAUAUUUCCUUGUUUAUUUGCUUUUAACUUAAAAUAGAGCUGAACUAUUUGUUAUUGCUAAUACUAAAACGCAUCGGAUACUAAAUUUAUGGUUUUUAUUUUUGGUGUCACAGCUUGUCACCUUUAUUUUCCUAGUGGUUUAUUUUACACAUUUCAAAUCUUGAAUCCCUGUGAAUUAUGCCCUGUGUGAACUAUGUACCUAAGGCUAUUCCAAACUGUUGGGAAUGACUUGCUGUUUGGAAUAUUCCAUUCAUUCCUCAUUGCCUUGAAAUGCUAUAUUUAUUAGACUACAUUCAAAAAAACACUCUUAAUCAUGGCCAUGUUUCCAUGAAGCAGAUGCCAGACUGCUUGUAGUGGAGCAAUAUUAUACGUGUUGAUAUUUCCUAGGAAGUCUUCUUUUCGAAAUGUUGUCAGUUUCCAUUUUCAUGUAUUACAGAUGAAGUUACGAAUGCUUUUGUAAAGUACCUAUUAAAGUACACAAAAAUCAAAGAGAAAAAAGUAUGUACAAAAGUUGGUUGACAGUGGUAGUGGAAUUUGUCACAGUAUAUUGAGUUUCAGUGAAAGGGUCUAUCUCCAUUUCUUCAAGUAAUGUUAGUGUCCUAGAAGAAAGAAUAGGAUUAUGUAGACGAAUAAAGACAUUUUCUUUUGGACUGUCGAUUUUCUGAUUUAUCUACGAUUUUCGUUCAUUUCUUUCAUGAUUUUGAUGAACUACCUUGCUUGAUGCCACCCUCGUCCCCUGGCUUUUUAUUUCCAGAGAAUCGCUGACGGUGUCAGAUACUGUUUUUUUAUUUUAAAAAUUCUUUUAUUGCUUGAUGGAAUCUGUUUCCUAGUAUUUAAAAAAGUGAAGUCGACAAGCAGGUUCCUAUUCCUGACAGCUCUGUGUCUAAAUUGCACACUGGGUGCACAUAGAUCUCGGCUGUAAUCUGCAACUUUUGGGGAGUCCCUGACGCGAUCUACAGUUUGGGUAACUCUGUCAAGCGCCCCAACCUUCUCACGCUGGAUAAAGACUACACGCUCUCCGCUCAAGUCCAUCGCCGCUCACGCAGUCUAAAGGAGCGGUAGCUCUGGCUUUCAGCGCGGAACGCUCCCACUGUCAGGUUCUGCGCUUGCCUAGUACCGCCUUCCGCCGCUCUGCACUUCCGUCCUGUUUCUUUUUUUCCUUCCGUUUAACUCAGUUCUCGCUGGGAGGGGGCGUUCUGCACCCGCCGUGUCUCUGACCUUUUCUGGGGCUUCGUGCGCAGGGAUCGAUAGGUGAGCUUGGGGCGAUUGGACGAGGGCCAAUGGGGGCGCCGUGUGCCCGGGAGUCUGUGCCCCGGCGGUCGGUGCCCGAUCGUGUGGAGGGAGGUCCGUGGACCGGUGACGGCGGGAUGGGGACGUGUCCAUCAGCACUAGAGGUUACUGACUUAUUCAGAAUCACAGUUUGUUAGUGGCGAAGACUGGAAGUUGUGUCUCCCGACUCCAGAGAGACUGCCUGCUUUUGCACACGAGGAAAGGCAAAUUACUUUUAAAAAGAUCCUUUUGAGAAACGGCAACCAGGAUCAAGAAAUGAAAACAUAGACCUUUCAUUAAAGCAUUGCUUUUUAUCGUUUUCUGUGUAAUCAGUAAUCAAAGGUUUAGUAACAGUGGGGAAAUUGAUAAACAGUUUAAUCAGGAGUAUUUUUUUAAGUUUACUUAUUUUGGGGAGAGAGGGAGAAAGAGAGAGAACCCAGAAGAAGCAGAGAAAGAGGGAGAGAGAAUCCCAAGCCGGUUCAACACUGUCACCGCAGAGCCUGAUGUGGGGCUCGCUCCAUCCCGUCAUCCCUGAGAUCUUGACCUGAACAAGAAUGCAGGCUUAACUGACUGAGCCACCCAGGUGCCCCAGGUUGGGAGUAUUUUUUGUAGCAGUUUUGGUGAAGACUUAAUGUUACUUCACUGAGUAUAAUGUUUUAUUUAAACCUACUUUUUAAUUUAAAAAUUUUUUGUGAACAUCAAGAGAGCUUUAAACUGUUAAAAAUCCCCAGGAAACAAAUAUUUAGGUUUUCCCAGUGAAAACUUUUAUGCCCAGCAGCCAUUACAUGAUUAUGUCAGAGUCCUAUUAGAUAGUUGUUCUUUGAGCAUCUGCUGUCCUUUCUGAAGGUGAAAGGCAUUGACGCUCUUCCUAUCUAUUGGGUUGUAUAGUUUUAUAGGGCAGGAGCAUUCAGGAGCCACCAGGCAGGCCAGCUCUUUUAGGACCUCAUUCCUCCUGUAACUCAGCACAGCAACAGAGUUGUCUACACUUUUCCAAGACAGCAGAAAAUGAACAAAUCCCAGAUUGAACAGAAAUCCCAGGGAUCAGUAUCAUUUAAGGAUGUGACCGUGGGCUUCACCCAGGAGGAGUGGCAGUGCUUGGACUCAAGUCAGAGGUCCCUGUACAGGGACGUGAUGCUGGAGAACUACAGCCACCUUGUCUCAGUGGGGUCCUGUGCUACCAAACCAGAGGUGAUCUUCAGGCUGGAGCAAGGAGAGGAGCCAUGGAUAUCGGAGGAAGAAUUCCCAAGCCAGAGCCUCCCAGGUGAGUUGAUACAUACGGCACCGAUGAACAUCAGGACAUUUAUUAUCUUCCCAUGAUUAACCCAGGGCUGGACAACUUUGGAAUGUGUUUUUAAGGUGUCUGUUUAGAAGUCAUAAUCCAGUGAGUGACUGAGAAUACUGGUUAUUGAACCAAACCUCCAGAUUCUGCUCUCACGAAAAAUGUUCUCCUGUUUGAUUCACGUUUUGAAUAUUCACCAUUCUUACAUUUGUCAACAGACCAAUCUUUGCCUUCCUCCCCUUUGCCAUCGUUUUCCUGCAUGAGUCUGUGUUUCUCAAAGCCGUGUCAGCCCCGACCUUACCUGCGUUGUUGCACUGCAUUCCUGCUGUUCCCAGGCAUUGUUUCAUACACUGAUUUUCCGACCUAAAUAAUUUUUGAGUGCUUGCUGUUGUCUAAAUACCAUAGUAGUGAGAGGCGCGUGGGUGGCUCAGUCAGUUGAGCGUCUGACUUCAGCUCAGGUCAUGAUCUUGCUGUCCAUGAGUCGAGCCCUGCAUCGGGCUCUGUGCUGACAGCUCAGAGCCUGGAACUUGCUUCAGAUUCUGUGUCUCCCUCUCUCUUGGCUCUCCCCCACUCGUGCUCUGUCUCUCUCUCUCAAAAAUUAAUAAAUGUUAAAAACAUUUUUUUGAUUAAAAACAAUUAAUAAAUGCCAUAGCAGUGAAAGAAUAAUGUGCCAGUGACUUUGUACAAGUAGCACUAGUGGCCAAGAGAUUCAUGCAGAGGUGGUCAACAUCACUAACGUGAGGGAGAUGCGCAUCCGAGCCACAUCACACCAUUUAGAAUGGCUAGCACCAAGAAGACAAGAGAGAACAAGUGUUGGCGAGGAUGAGGAGAAAAGGGAACUCUUGUGCACUGUCGGUGGUGGUGAUGUAAAUUGGUUCACCUACUGUGGAAAAGGGUGUGGAGAUUCCUCAAGCAGUUAAAUAUAGAACUGUCCUAGGAUCCCGCAGUUGUACUUGGGAACAUACCCGAAGAAAAUGAAAAGAGGAUAUCGAAGAGAAUAUACACAUUCCUGUGUAUCACGGCCUUAUUGACAAUAGCCAGAUCUGGACACAAUCUGCGUGCUCGUCAGUUCAUGAAUGGCUAAAGAAAGAAAAGAGAGUAGUAGUAUUCGGUCAUGAGAAAUGACAUCCUGCCACUUUAAGAGAAAGACAGUUACCGUGUGGUGUCACUUAUAUCUGGAAUCUGGAAAAGGCAAACUCAUGAUAACGGAGGGUAAUGUGGUGGUUCCCAGGGGAUGGGGUGUGGGAAAGGAGGGAAAGGACAAGAUCGGAAGAGAUAAGUAAGCCGUAGAGAUGGCGGAUACCAUAUCAAGAAUGCAGACAGUAUCGAAUUGCGGUCAUCACACUUGCCCAGACACCAGAACUGAAUCGUUCCAAUCACUAAUAAGGCAUGGGAAUUGUGUAACAUAAUAAAGGUGCUGAUCAUUGGCACAGUAGCAGUCCUAAUACAGUUUAUAAUUGUCUGAAACUAACGUGCACGUUGAAUUUAUACACUUAUAUGUCUCAUGCAUUUAAAAAGUAGCACUAGAAGGAGAUACUUCUGCGUAUUAACGCUGUGUAGUGGUAUAAAAUGACCUUGGAAAUUCGAGCAGAGUUAAAUUGUGCUGCUUUAAGAAGAGUAGUCAGGGGAGACCUAAAGUAGCAGAUCAGCCACCGUUAGAGCAGGAUUUGAGUGAAAUGUUUGUGUGAGUUGGGUGGUUUCUGCCUCUUCUCAGCAAGGGGAAUAGCACCCACUAAGCCAAUGAGCAGGAAUGUGUUUGGUGUUUUUUGGGAAAUAGCGGAAAAAAAAAAAAAGUCACAGUGGCCAGAGGGGAGUGAGUGAUUGAUGAGUGUGGGACAGGAAAUGACGUCAGGCAGUUGUGGUCCACAAGGUAAAUAUCAUAAAUCUUAUUAAAGUUAUUAAUGUUAUCCUCUUUAGUAUAUUUUGGUUAACAAGCAAUGUGUAGUUUAUGUUUAUAAGAUCGUUCUCGCCCCUGGAGAAGAUAUCGGGAAGAGCAUAAGCACUACAGAUGUCGCUAGAGGACGCUUGUCGUUUUCCUUAAGGGUGAUUAUGGUCAGUCCAGAUUGGAAGGCGUGGAGGUAACGAGAGGAGGGUGGAAUCUCUGUGUGUCAGGAAGAAGAAUAACAGAAAGGGAAGGGGGGUGGGACUUGAAGGAUUUUAAAGAAUAAUGGUUGAAAACUUCCCAAGUUGGGCAGUAGAGCUAAAAGUACUCAUUGAAGAAUGUGCAUGAACUGUAAGUAAGAUAAAUGCAAAGGGAUCCACGCCAAUGUCAUGUCAUGAUAACAUUUCUAAAAACAAGAGAAUGUUUCAAAGUAGCCAGAGAGAAACAUCUCCUUUUCUUUGGACAUGAUAGUGGAUGUUUCAGCCAAAAGCAUGGAAGCUAGAGGGAAAUAAUGCCCUUAUUUGAGUACUGAAAGAAAAGAACUUUCAGACAAAAGCGGUAUCUUAUGAAUAUAUAUUUAUGAAAGGAGAGCUGAAGAUACCAUAAAAAGGAAAACUAAGAGAAAGUGUUGUAAGCAAAAAAAGCUUUUAAAAAUGGCUAGAGGAGGUUCUCUGAAUCGAAAGGAAAUAACACUAGAAAGGUGGAACUUUAGAAAAGAAAGAAAAAUGGAAGUGGCAAAAAUAAGGGUAAAUGUAAUGGAGUUUCCUUCUCAUGAGUUUCUAUAAUCAUAUUUGAUUCAGGCAAAAUUUAGAAAUAUCUUAUGAUUUGAUGCUCUAUGUGUGGAGAAAAUGAUAUAAUUACAUUUAAAAGAUAGAAUAAAGGGCUUUAAAUGGAAUUAAAGUGUUACAUUUCUCUUGAAGUGAUAAGAUGUUGAUCCGAGAAGACUGUGAUAAAUUAUAUAUGUGCUUUUUACCUAGAAAUGUACUCAAAUACCUAGAACAACCACUAAAAAGUUAUAUGAAGUGGUACAUUCAGAAAAAGCGUAAACAGAAAAAAACGACAUACUCUAAAUUAAUGAAAAUGGAAUAUUUAAAAUAAUGUUCAGGUAACCAGUAAGAAAAUUAGUUAGGAAGAGAUGAAUGAGAAACUGAGAAAACAACCGAAAAAUAAAAUGGCAGACUGAAACCUUGACAUUAGCAGUGUUCACCAUCAAUGUAAAUGAACUAAAUACACCAAUAGGCGUAUAAAUUGGUAGACUGCAUGAAACAGAAAACAUGAUGCAGAAAUAUGUUAUCUACAAAAAAUUCACUUCAGAGAGAACAUAGUAAGGUUGAUAAGGAAUAGAAAAAGAUAGGGGCGCCUGGGUGGCUUGGUUAAGCAUC
Molecule: RNA transcript, 13007 nt
Organism: Acinonyx jubatus (cheetah)
Lineage: Eukaryota; Metazoa; Chordata; Mammalia; Carnivora; Felidae
Gene name: zinc finger protein 33B-like
Exons: 6
Source: RefSeq, a predicted model, not a curated record